CCUACGGGAGGCAGCAGUGAGGAAUAUUGGUCAAUGGGCGCAAGCCUGAACCAGCCAAGUCGCGUGAAGGAAGACGGCCCUAUGGGUUGUAAACCUCUUUUGUACGGGAGUAAUGCCCGGUACGUGUGUCCGGAUGGAAGUAACCUACGAAUAAGGAUCGGCUAACUCCGUGCCAGCCGCCGCGGUAAUACGGAGGAUCCGAGCGUUAUCCGGAUUUCUUGGGUUUAAAGGGUGCGUAGGGGGGGUUUUAAGUUAGGGGGGAAAGGGUGGGGCUCAAACCCGAAACUGCCAUUAAUACUGGGGGACUAGAGUACAGGUGAGGUAGGCGGAAUGUAUGGUGUAGCGGUGAAAUGCUUAGAUAUCACACAGAACACCGAUUGCGAAGGCAGCUUACCAAACUAUAACUGACGUUGAGGCACGAAAGCGUGGGUAGCAAACAGGAUUAGAUACCCUAGUAGUC
Molecule: ribosomal RNA, 460 nt
Filed under: uncultured bacterium
Lineage: Bacteria
Description: partial 16S ribosomal RNA
Rfam family: Bacterial small subunit ribosomal RNA
Source: RNAcentral